AAAAAAAAUAGUUGUUACCUACACUGAUAUUAAAACUCCAUUAUAAUUUAUGUGCGAAAACCAUAUAGAAGCAGGUUUUCUGCCUCCAACAAUCUUUUAUGUGCCACUUUUAAAUUUUAUUUGUGGACAAUAAAUUUCAAAGUCUAUGCAUGUGUAUACCACUAGCAUUGCAAUGCAUUAUAAAGGUUACAUUAGUACAACCUAUUUAAGCUGCCAAUAUUUUUGAAGAGCACAAACUUGUAUACCAACGGUUGCAAAAAUGUAUCGCCAUCUUAUUUCUUCGCUGCUACUGUACGAGUUUUCCCAAAGUAUUAUCAUUAACAGUAAUACACAUCGCAUUUCAGCCAAAUAUGUGGAUGUUCAGUGUAUUAUAUCUGGGAUAGCAAGAAUAAGUUCUGUCCAAAAAAAUGCAAUCGCGUCGGAAUCAAAUUCUAAGACGAUGAACUCCAAUGAACAUGUGUCCCGCUCAUGCAAUGACUAUUGGUUAAAUCAUGCGAUGCGCUGGACGCAAUGGAAGAACACAGUGGUCCCACAUUCUCCAGCAGCACUCGUACAGACUCCCACGCUCUUGUUGGUAUCAUCCCCGUAGCUGCUAACAUCAACACGACCAGAUAAUUUACUAUUUCGUGGAUUUCUAACUGGAUCCCGUUAGAAUAUGUAUUAACUUUUAUUCUCCUUAAUAAAUGUGUAUUACUGUAUGCGUA
RNAcentral lists this long non-coding RNA (704 nucleotides) under Aedes aegypti (yellow fever mosquito). RNAcentral describes it as "lncRNA AAEL027768". Lineage: Eukaryota; Metazoa; Arthropoda; Insecta; Diptera; Culicidae. The record is from RNAcentral.